ACACACUCUCUCCUCCCGCGACCCGAAAAUGCUUGGCAAGAUUCUACUGUACUGAAAUACUGUGCACACCAUAUAAGGUAGCAGCAGCUUCACAUGUCACACAUAAUUUACAUGCAGUGGGGCAGGAGUUUUGCCUUUCAAAGCACACACACGUAGAAACACACAGACACAUGUUAAACCAUGCUUCCACCUUCAGGCUGACGCAGCAGAGGAGCACAGAAGGCGCUUACUUUGGAAAGUAAAGACUGCAGCACUCACAGGAGGAAAGAUCUAGAUAAACCAAUGAGACAAGGAGGAGGACAGGCCACGACAGCAGACCCCCAGGCACUGGCUGGACCAUUCUCGGGCAGGCAGAGCGGC
Long non-coding RNA from Solea senegalensis (Senegalese sole), 360 nucleotides. RefSeq lists it as uncharacterized. NCBI's taxonomy places the organism in Eukaryota, Metazoa, Chordata, Actinopteri, Pleuronectiformes, Soleidae. The transcript has 3 exons. The record is from RefSeq and is a predicted model, not a curated record.